RNAcentral lists this ribosomal RNA (253 nucleotides) under uncultured bacterium. RNAcentral describes it as "partial 16S ribosomal RNA". It matches the Rfam family "Bacterial small subunit ribosomal RNA", at positions 524 to 776 of the family's 1533-position model. The record is from RNAcentral.
UACGUAGGAUGCAAGCGUUGUCCGGAAUUAUUGGGCGUAAAGAGCGCGCAGGCGGUAACUCAAGUCAGAUGUGAAAUAUCCGGGCUUAACCCGGAGGGGUCAUUUGAAACUGAGUAACUAGAGUACAGCAGAGGAUAGCGGAAUUCCCGGUGUAGUGGUGAAAUGCGUAGAUAUCGGGAGGAACACCAGUGGCGAAGGCGGCUAUCUGGGCUGAAACUGACGCUGAGGCGCGAAGGCUAGGGGAGCAAACGGG